AUUGAACGCUGGCGGCAUGCCUAACACAUGCAAGUCGAACGAGUGGCGGACGGGUGAGUAAUGGCUGAGAAACUGCCCGAUGGAGGGGGAUAACUGCUGGAAACGUUAGCUAAUACCGCAUACCAUCGGAUGUGCACAGAUGGGAUUAGCUAGUAGGUGGGGUAACGGCUCACCUAGGCGACGAUCCCUAGCGGGUCUGAGAGGAUGACCAGCCACACGGGGACGGAGACACGGUCCAGACUCCUACGGGAGGCAGCAGUGGGGAAUAUUGCACAAUGGGCGCAAGUCUGAUGCAGCCAUGCCGCGUGUAUGAAGAAGGCCUUCGGGUUGUAAAGUACUUUCAGCGAGGAGGCGUUACUCGCAGAAGAAGCCCCGGCUAACUCCGUGCCAGCAGCCGCGGUAAUUC
RNAcentral lists this ribosomal RNA (406 nucleotides) under uncultured bacterium. RNAcentral's name for it is "partial 16S ribosomal RNA". It matches the Rfam family "Bacterial small subunit ribosomal RNA", at positions 30 to 526 of the family's 1533-position model. The record is from RNAcentral.